Molecule: unclassified non-coding RNA, 4322 nt
Filed under: Leishmania donovani
Lineage: Eukaryota; Euglenozoa; Kinetoplastea; Trypanosomatida; Trypanosomatidae
Description: gene:LdHU3.01.0950(CDS-product:potassium_channel_ subunit-like_protein)
Source: RNAcentral
CACGGGAAAGAGGUCUGCACGGCUGCUGCCCCCUCCCCCUCCCACGGGCUGUUCGCCACUGCCGCGUGUUAUCGUGCGUUGAUGUGCACAGUCCUGCUUCUGUCACCACUGUGCCUUGUGCUCGCUGAAGUCUUUCUCUGUGCGUCUCGCUGCGUGCGUGGAGUGCGCACACGGCCCACAUCCUCUCCCUCACUGCCGUGCUCCGCUGCCUCGCGCAUCUUGCGCUUUUCGACAUACACACGCCUGCGUGCUUCCCUGGUAGCCGUGGCAUCACGAGAGAAGAGGGAAGCGUCGUCGAUGACUGGCGCGUCGUCGGUGAUGCCGGCGCCAGAUGACGCAGCGACGCCCACCACUGCCGCCGCGCGCUUCACCGCCGAGGACCCGAACGCCAGCACGACGACGAUUCCAGCCGUCGAGGCAUCCGCCGCCGCGACCCACGCCCACGUGCACCUCAACGCGAAGGUGUUCAUGGUCAACCUCGGCCAGGACGUGCAGACAACGGUACUUGGCCGCUUCCGAAACCUGCAGGGCACCAUACACUCACAGCUGCGCAACCUGCAGAACAACGUUGCCAACCUGCGCCACUCCACCGGCAUCCCGCCCGAGGCGCUGCACAGCCGCUGGGUCUAUCACUACAACCACUCUGCCCUCGGCAUCCACAGCCUCCGUAAGCUGUUCGACGUCAUCGAGCAGCGCUACUCGCACGUGUCUAUCCUGCUGCUCUUGUGCAACGUCGGCCUCGAGGCCGCCGCCUUCGGCAUCUACCUUCACGUGCAGAACGGCCACGUCACGGAGGACUGGCGCGAGUUUGACUGGGGCCUCGGCUACUUCAUCGCCGAGGUGCUGCUCAGCGUCGUCUUCAUGGCCAGCUGGAUCUCGCUGCUGGCGGUGGAGGCUAAGAAGUGGAACUACGUACUCAACGCGCGCUCGCUCAUGAACUACCUCAGCAGCGGCUGGAUGCUGCUGCUCGCGCUCGGCGCGCUCCUCACGCUGGACCGGGCCUGGACGCACGUCUACGCACCCAUGUUCCUGCGCGUGUGGUGGCUGCACGAAAGCCUACUGUCGCUGCUGAACUACCCGCAGAUCAGCGUCUACUUCACCGAGAACCGACUCGAGAUGGUGCGCUCCAUGAUCCAGUGCAUCGCCGUCGUCGGCAUCAGCGUCGGCAUCCUCCAGGCCGUCGAGAGCUUCUGCGGCGACCCUGUCGAGUACUUCGACAUGGUCUACAUGAUGCUGCUGUCCUUCUCGUCCAUCGGCUACGGCGACGUGACGCCGCUCACGGUGCAAGGCCGCCUUCUCAUGAUCAUCUUCAUUGGUGUCGGCUUCAGCUACUUCGUGCCCAUCCUGCAAUACGUGGCCGACCUCGGCGUGUACCACCUCUCCUAUGCGUACUACACCACGUGUUUCAAGCGCACAGACCACGUCGUGAUAUGCGGCCACCUCGGCUACAACGAGCUGCGCAUGCAGCUGAAGAACGUCUUUGCUGAGGACCGGCAUUACCUGAACAUGAGCGUGGUGCUGCUGCUCCGCGAGCAGCCGUCCGCGCAGGUGCUGCUACUGCUCAACUCCCCCAAGUACCGCAGCGCUGUGCACCUCCUCGUCGGCGAUCCGGGGGUCCCGACGGACCUCGAUCGCUGCAACGCGCGCGGUGCCUCUGCCAUGUUCCUCUUGGGUGCGGGUACCAACUCCAGCUAUUACAGCGACUACGACCUGGCCGCGCAGACCAUGACUGUCAACGCGCUCGUCCCCGAUCUUCCGCUGUACAUCCUGCUGCACCGCUCACGCUACACGAAGUCUUUGAUGCCAAGUCGCGCCAUCGUGCUGGAGUUCGAGCGACUGAACCACAACCUGCUGGGGCUGGGCUGCGUGCUGCCGGGCAUGAUACCCCUUGUCGCCAAUCUCAUGCGCAUGUUCGACCCCAUGACGACUGAGGCGCUCUGGGAGCUCCGCGACUUCAAGGACCUCCUCGGGCUCAGCGGCAGCGCGGCGAGCUUGCGCGCGAUGCGGAAGAUGUGGGCGCCCAAACGCCCCAUGCUCACCUACGGCUCCGCGACCAUCGAACUGGGCCUCGGUGCGGAGCCGGACUGGAUGAGCACGUACGAGGCGUCACUCGCACAGCACGUGGACACGGUGGCGGCGCCGCCGCCGGUGCAGCGGGGCCACUACACCGUCGUCCGCCUGGCACGCUUGCUGUACCGCACCGAUAUAACGCUCAUCGGUGUCGUGCGCAGCAGCGGAAGCGGCGACAGUGUCGUCGAGCUGGCGCCACGCGGCUCGCUGGUCGGCGUGAAGAAGCUCAUCGUCAUCUGCGACGUGCGCCGCGCCGCGCAGGACAUCGUGGACGAGAUCGUCAACGACGCCACGCGCGGCAGCACCAGCAGCGCCGCGGCCGGCGCACCCGCCAUCCGCCCGCCACCGCCGGCCGGCGUGCAGGCCACCGCCGUCACGGUCGUGCCCAUCCCCGCCAGAGAAGACGCCGGCGCUGUCUGGAACUCCAGCGCCACGACCACCACUAUCGCGCCAACCUCGCGCGCCAGCCAGACGUCGCUGAAGCCAGCGGCGGCACCGGCGCCAGCACCAGCACCAGCACCAGCACCAGCCACAGCCACAGCAGCAACCGUUAUCGGCGCCAGCGCGGUGGAACUGCCGCGGCGGCCGCACCGUGUGGCAUGCGAGCGUGCUGCGGAGGCGCGGAUGCCGCACAACGACUCGAGCCUCGUGCUCAGCGCCGCCAUCGCCACAGAAGACGAUGACAAGAACGACGACAACGAAGACGCGCUGAUUGGGGCGCUGGCGUCGCCAGUGCUGCUGGACGCGGUGGGUCGCGGCCGCCCGGCUUGCAUGGGCGCCAGGGUAGGCGCACCGGCCACGGUAAGCCCGUCCUCACCGGUGGUCGCCGCCUCGCGCAGCGUGCUGCGCGUGGAGCCGGACGUGCGCCACCUCGCCAACCACUACGUCUUCAUCGAUCUAUCCAGCGCACACGAACGCACCAACUGGUCGCGCGAGGCCGCCGUCGAGUCGCGCACCGCCAAGGCGGCCGACUACUACGACAUCAUGCGCCCGGUGCGCCAGCACGAUCCCGACAGCAACAUCGUGCUGCUCGCGAACGACACCAACUACGACAGCCUCAACAACAUGUGGGAAGAGGAGGACGUCACCGGGUCCCUCAUCGUCGUGCAGGGAUGCGGCCUCUUCACAUCCGAUCUGCGCCGCUGCAACGUUGCCAAGGCGGCCGCCGUCGUCAUCUUCUCCGCCGGCGAUCGCUGCGACGAGCACGGCGACUCGCUGUCCGUACUCGUCAUGCAGCUGGUGCGCCAGCUCAUCAGCGAGGACAAGCACGGCAGCGCCGCCGACAUCCCCAUCGUCGUCGAAGUCGAUCACGCCGAACUGGUGCCGCUUUUCGCGCCCGCCAUGACCGUCGGCAAGGACGUCAAGACGGCGGAGUGGGUAUUGGAGCCAAGCUUCAUGUCUGGCUGCGUCGUGUGCCGCCACAUGCUCGACACAGGCCUGCAGGAAAUGUACUUCACUCCCGAGCUGCACGACGUGCUCGAGCAGCUGCUGUCGUCCAAGUCUGAGUCGCUGCUCGUCACCGUCAUGGCGCCGGACGCGGCGUGGACCGUCUACGAAGACGCCACGUCGUUCGGCGUCGACAACGGCCUGCUGCCGCUCGCUAUCCACCGCUUCCACGAGAUGAUCAGAGACGACACCAGCGUUUCCUUUCGCUACAUCAUCACCAACCCGCCGCCUUCCUUCCCGCUGCACCCCGACGACUUCAUCUACUGCCUCAAGCUGUGUGACCCGUAGGAUGCGGCAGGCCUCCCCACCAAGGCGGCUCGCUCUUGUUUCGGCGCUAUCCCCAUCCCCCCGCACACACACACACACACACACACGCCCGUCCGUCCGUCUCGUUGUUUUCGUUGGCCAAAGGAAUGAAGGCGCCCCGUCGGCCGGCACCGCGCACACCCGGCGGUAUUCCCAGCGUAGCCCUUUUUACCGCUGCCCGAUCCAGGGGGUGAGCGCGGGGGCGGCGGCGGCGGCGACGAGGGCGUCGCAGGCCAUAUUCGCCCAACCACGUAUCCCCACCAACCACAUUUACGACCGCGACCGCUGGGCCCCGCGCGGACUUGGCAAGUGGCCGCCAUCGAUGAAAACGCACCAUGCCUUUUCCCUGGGGGUCCAGAGGCGGGGCCGCGGUGCGCGCGGUCCCCCGUGAUCCAACAGCAACCCCUCGCCUGCCUGCGCGACUUCUUGCGGACUGUGCUCUCCUCCUCCUCCUCUUGCCCCCUCCCCCCCCCACCCUCCGCCCGCAUACGACACGCCAG